Molecule: ribosomal RNA, 253 nt
Filed under: uncultured prokaryote
Description: partial 16S ribosomal RNA
Rfam family: Bacterial small subunit ribosomal RNA
Source: RNAcentral
UACAGAGGGUGCGAGCGUUGUUCGGAAUUAUUGGGCGUAAAGGGCGCGUAGGCGGUGCUGUAAGUCUGUGGUGAAAUCUCUGGGCUCAACUCAGAGUCUGCCAUAGAAACUGUCUGGCUUGAGUAUGGGAGAGGUGAGUGGAAUUCCUGGUGUAGCGGUGAAAUGCGUAGAUAUCAGGAGGAACACCUGUGGCGAAAGCGGCUCACUGGACCACAACUGACGCUGAGGCACGAAAGCUAGGGGAGCAAACAGG